This 460-nucleotide ribosomal RNA is filed under the name uncultured bacterium. Its description in RNAcentral is "partial 16S ribosomal RNA". It matches the Rfam family "Bacterial small subunit ribosomal RNA", at positions 338 to 795 of the family's 1533-position model. The record is from RNAcentral.
CCUACGGGUGGCAGCAGUGAGGAAUAUUGGUCAAUGGGCGCGAGCCUGAACCAGCCAAGUAGCGUGAAGGAUGACUGCCCUACGGGUUGUAAACCUCUUUUAUAAAGGAAUAAAGUGAGGCACGUGUGCCUUUUUGUGAGUACUUGAUGAAUAAGGAUCGGCUAACUCCGUGCCAGCAGCCGCGGGAAUACGGAGGAUACGGGCGUUAUCCGGAUUUAUUGGGUUUAAAAGGGGCGUAGAUGGGUUGUUCAGUCAGUGGUGAAAGUUUGGGGCUCAAACGGCAAAUUGCAGUUGAUACUGGCAGUCUUGAGUACAGGAGAGGUAGGCGGAAUGCGUGGUGUAGCGGUGAAAUGCUUAGAUAUCACGAAGAACUCCGAUUGCGAAGGCAGCAUACUGGACUGCAACUGACAUUGAUGCACGAAAGUGUGGGUAUCGAACAGGAUUAGAUACCCGAGUAGUC